ACGGGAGGCAGCAGCUAAGAAUAUUCCGCAAUGGACGAAAGUCUGACGGAGCGACGCCGCGUGGAUGAUGAAGGUCGGAAGAUUGUAAAAUCCUUUUAAGCAUGAAGAAUAAUCAGGACAGGUAAUGGUCUUGAGGUGACGGUAGUGCUUGAAUAAGCAACGGCUAAUUACGUGCCAGCAGCCGCGGUAACACGUAAGUUGCGAGCGUUGUUCGGAAUUAUUGGGCGUAAAGGGCAUGUAGGCGGUUGUGCAAGCUUGAUGUGAAAUCCCCGGGCUUAACCCGGGAACUGCAUUGAGAACUGCAUGACUAGAAUUACUGAAGGGUAACUGGAAUUCCAAGUGUAGGGGUGAAAUCUGUAGAUAUUUGGAAGAACACCGAUGGCGAAGGCAAGUUACUGGCAGAUAAUUGACGCUGAGGUGCGAAGGUGCGGGGAGCGAACAGGAUUAGAUACCCUGGUA
Molecule: ribosomal RNA, 459 nt
Filed under: uncultured Treponema sp.
Lineage: Bacteria; Pseudomonadati; Spirochaetota; Spirochaetia; Treponematales; Treponemataceae
Description: partial 16S ribosomal RNA
Rfam family: Bacterial small subunit ribosomal RNA
Source: RNAcentral